Molecule: transfer RNA, 75 nt
Filed under: Camelus bactrianus (Bactrian camel)
Lineage: Eukaryota; Metazoa; Chordata; Mammalia; Artiodactyla; Camelidae
Also listed under: 3 other names
Rfam family: tRNA
About the family: Transfer RNA (tRNA) molecules are approximately 80 nucleotides in length. Their secondary structure includes four short double-helical elements and three loops (D, anti-codon, and T loops).
Source: Rfam by way of RNAcentral
GAGGGUAUAGCUCAGUGGUAGAGUGCGUGCUUAGCAUGCAUGAUGAGGUCCUGGGUUCAAUCCCUCGGACCUCCA